UCUGCCAUGUGCACACUCUGCCCUUCCCUAGAGAGCGUGAUUCAUGGACCUUUGGAAAACUGAUUAGAGCAGCACAGCAUUUUAGGAACAUCUUUGGAAGCCAUCAUGAGCCGUCUCUGCUGAAGACAGCCCAACUCUCAAGUUUGUUUGACAGAGUGGUAGCAGGCAGUGUCUGCUUUGAUGAGUCCAGUACCAGCAGCUGAGUUCCAGGUAAGACACCUGUGGUGUCUCUUUCAAGACAGGUUCUUAAACACAGAACCCUUUGUGCUGCUCAGUAACGUGACCUGCUGUGUCUGACAAGUUCCUGAAUUUAGCCUUAUGUUAUUUCAGAUCCUACAGUCUCGUUUGUGAGACUCAAAUGGUCUCAAAUGGUGCCCUACCCAAAGCCAGAAGCCCUGUUGCUCAGAUGCCAGGUUGGGAGGCAGGUUACAGCUGUUGGAGUUACUGAGGAAAAUGUCAUAUGGAAUAGCCUCAUUUAUUUUGACAAAAACCAGUCUUCAUGCUGUGAUGGUAAUGGAAUCUUUCAGGCAUGCUAUGCUGGUUUGGAAACCUUUACACCCUGGCAGAACCAGACAACUGAUGCUGGCAGCUUUAUCAUUUUGGAGAACAGUGACAUUUAAUUUUCUAGACACAAAACCAAUUGUGAUAAAGUCACAAUGCAAAAUCUUUUGUCUUGGGAAAGAAGCAAAGAUAAAAUGGCAAAGUAUACUGGUUUUAAAAAGCUUUCCUUCAUAUUCUUGGAAAGCAAUUUGA
This 753-nucleotide long non-coding RNA is filed under the name Cyanistes caeruleus (blue tit). RNAcentral describes it as "lncRNA (ENSCCEG00000001071.1)". The record is from RNAcentral. Lineage: Eukaryota; Metazoa; Chordata; Aves; Passeriformes; Paridae.